Molecule: ribosomal RNA, 353 nt
Filed under: uncultured bacterium
Lineage: Bacteria
Description: bacterial SSU rRNA
Rfam family: Bacterial small subunit ribosomal RNA
Source: RNAcentral
UUGUCGNGUCUGNAGUGAAAAUCCGAGGCUCAACCUCGGACUUGCUGUGGGUACGGGCAGACUAGAGUAUGGUAGGGGAGACCGGAAUUCCUGGUGUAGNGGUGGAAUGCGCAGAUAUCAGGAGGAACACCGAUGGCGAAGGCAGGUCUCUGGGCCAUAACUGACGCUGAGAAGCGAAAGCAUGGGGAGCGAACAGGAUUAGAUACCCUGGUAGUCCAUGCCGUAAACGUUGGGCGCUAGGUGUGGGGCUCAUUCCACGAGCUCCGUGCCGCAGCUAACGCAUUAAGCGCCCCGCCUGGGGAGUACGGUCGCAAGGCUAAAACUCAAAGGAAUUGACGGGGGCCCGCACAAGC